AGGGGAAAAAUUAAUAAAUGGGGAAAAUUGAUAAAAAAAUUUUUAAAUAAAAAAUAUUAAAUUAUUUUAAUGGGGGUUAAAGUAUAUUAAUAGAAUAAAUUAAAAAUUUUAUAGAGAAUUAUGUAUUGUAAAAGAAAUUUGAAAUAAAUGAAAAUAAAUUUAAUUAAAAGUAAUUUUUAUUUGAUGUAUCUUGUGUAUCAGAGUUUAUUAAAAAAUAUUUUUUGAAAAAAAAAUUCUCGAAUUUAAGAGAGAUAAUUAAUUAUUAAAGUUAUUGUUGUAUAAAUAUUUUAAAUAGUUAAUUGGAAAUGAAAUGUUAGAUCGUUCUUAAAUAUAUCUAGUUUUUUUAGAAAAAAAUUUAAUUUUAAAUUUAUAUUAUUUAAUAAUUAAUUAAUUAAUUAUUAAAAAGUAAUUUAAAUUUUAUAUUUUAAGGGAUAAUCUUUAAUUUAAAUAAGUAUAAUAAAUAUUAAAUUAUUAUGAAAAUUAUAUAAUUUAAAUUGUUAAUAAAUUUUAAUUUAUUAUAAAUAAUUUCAUAUUAAAAAUAAGAUUUAAUUAAAAAUUUAUUUUUUUUAUAAAAAAAAAAUUUAAAAUAAAAUAAUAUUAGUUAUAAUGAUAAAAUUAGUAUAUAUAUUAUACAUAAUAGAUAAAUAAAGUAAGUGUUAAAAUAAUUAAAUUAAUUAAAAGGAAUUUGGCAAAAUUUUAUAUUCACUUGUUUAACAAAAACAUGUCUUUUUGAAAAUAAUUUAAAGUCUGAUCUGCCCACUGAUUUAAAAUUAAAGGGCUGCAGUAUAUUGACUGUACAAAGGUAGCAUAAUCAUUAGUCAUUUAAUUGAUGACUUGUAUGAAAGAUUGGAUGAAAUAUAAACUGUCUCUUAAUUAAUUUGUAGAAUUUAAUUUUUUAAUUAAAAAGUUAAAAUAAGUUAAAAAGACGAGAAGACCCUAUAGAGUUUUAUAGUUUGAAAAAUUUAAUUUAUUUAUAAAAUUAAAAGUUUAAAUUUAAUGAAUUAUUUUAUUGGGGUGAUGAAAAAAUAAAAAUAACUUUUUUAAUAAAAAACAUAAAUAAGUGAAUUGAUGAUCCAAUUUUAUUGAUUAUAAGAAAAAAUUACCUUAGGGAUAACAGCGUAAUUUUUUUUUUUAGUUCAAAUAAAAAAAAAAGUUUGCGACCUCGAUGUUGGAUUAAAAUAAAAUUUAAAUGCAAAAGUUUAAAAUUUUGAUCUGUUCGAUCAUUAAAAUCUUACAUGAUCUGAGUUCAAACCGGUGUGAGCCAGGUUGGUUUCUAUCUUUUAAAAAAUAAAAUAUUUUAGUACGAAAGGAUUAAAUAUUUAAAUUAAAUUUAUAUAAGUGAAUUUUAUUAAAUUAAAUAUAAAAAAAAUUAUUAUUAUUAUAUUAAAUUUAUAAAUAAUAAAUGAUAAUAUAUACAAAUAUAUAUAUAUAUAUAUAUAUAUAUAUAUAAUAUUAAUAUAAUUUAUUAUAU
RNAcentral lists this ribosomal RNA (1471 nucleotides) under Catocala sp. XY-2014. RNAcentral's name for it is "16S ribosomal RNA". The record is from RNAcentral. Lineage: Eukaryota; Metazoa; Arthropoda; Insecta; Lepidoptera; Erebidae.